CUCUUUGAGUCGUGUGGUAGCGGAGCGUCGAGCGUGCAGCGAAGCGGCGGGACAACCCAGCCGUGGAGCGCGUUCGAGUGCGAAUGUUGGCAUGAGUAGCGAAUGAGGGGUGAGAACCCCCUCCGCCGUAUGUCCAAGGGUUCCUGGGCGAGGCCAAUCCUCCCAGGGUGAGUCGGGAGCUAAGGCGAGGCCGAGAGGCGUAGUCGAUGCACAACUGGUUGAUAUUCCAGUACCACCAUGUUCGCGUCCGUCCCAAUACUCUGUUGCUAAGGGGCUGUGUUGACUUCGGUCAACGCGAACCGACCCACAUUGUUGCGGGAAGCUGUAGGGGGACGCAGGAAGGUAGAUGAACCCGGUGAAUGGUAGAACCGGGGUAAGCGUGUAGGAGGAGGACCAGGUAAAUCCGGGCCUCAUAAACUCUGAGACGUGAUACCGAGCCGCUUCAGGCGAAGUCAUUGAUCCUAUGCUGCCUAGAAAAGCCCAGCAGCGAGUUGACAUGGUGCCCGUACCCCAAACCAACACAGGUGGACAGGUAGAGCAUACCAAGGCGAGUGGGAUAACUAUGGUUAAGGAACUCGGCAAAUUGCCUCCGUAACUUCGGGAGAAGGAGGACCCCAGUAGCGUGAUGAGACUUGCUCUCUGAGCGUGAAGGGGUGGCACAAAAUUGAGGGAAGCGACUGUUUACCAAAAACACAGCAGCGUGCUAAGCCGUAAGGCGCUGUAUACGCUGUGACUCCUGCCCGGUGCUGGAAGGUUACGGGGAUGGGUUAGUCCUUCGGGACGAAGCUCUGAACCUAAGCCCCAGUAAACGGCGGCCGUAACUAUAACGGUCCUAAGGUAGCGAAAUUCCUUGUCGGGUAAGUUCCGACCUGCACGAAUGGAGUAACGACUUCCCUACUGUCUCAACCAUAGACCCAGCGAAAUUGAAGUACGAGUAAAGAUGCUCGUUAGCUGCAGAAGGACGGAAAGACCCCGUGGACCUUUACUAUAACUUGAUGUUGUGUUUUGUCAUAUGUUGUGUAGGAUAGGUGGGAGACUUGGAAGCAUGGACGCUAGUCUGUGUGGAGUCAUCGUUGAAAUACCACCCUGCAUAUGGUGAGGCUCUAACCUAGACCCGUUAUCCGGGUUGGGGACAGCGUCAGGCGGGUAGUUUAACUGGGGCGGUUGCCUCCUAAAGAGUAACGGAGGCGCCCAAAGGUUCCCUCAGCCUGGUUGGCAAUCAGGCGUUGAGUGCAAUGGCAAAAGGGAGCUUGACUGCGAGACCUACAAGUCGAGCAGGAGCGAAAGCUGGGCAUAGUGAUCCGGCGGUUGCGUGUGGAAGCGCCGUCGCUCAACGGAUAAAAGGUACCCCGGG
This 1354-nucleotide ribosomal RNA is filed under the name metagenome. RNAcentral's name for it is "bacterial LSU rRNA". It matches the Rfam family "Bacterial large subunit ribosomal RNA", at positions 1212 to 2472 of the family's 2925-position model. The record is from RNAcentral.